UACGUAGGGGGCAAGCGUUGUCCGGAAUCAUUGGGCGUAAAGAGCGUGUAGGCGGUUCGGUAAGUCUGCUGUGAAAGUCCAGGGCUCAACCCUGGAAAGCCGGUGGAUACUGUCGGACUAGAGUGCGGAAGAGGCGAGUGGAAUUCCCGGUGUAGCGGUGAAAUGCGCAGAUAUCGGGAGGAACACCAAUUGCGAAGGCAGCUCGCUGGGACGUGACUGACGCUGAGACGCGAAAGCGUGGGGAGCGAACAGG
RNAcentral lists this ribosomal RNA (253 nucleotides) under uncultured bacterium. RNAcentral's name for it is "partial 16S ribosomal RNA". It matches the Rfam family "Bacterial small subunit ribosomal RNA", at positions 524 to 776 of the family's 1533-position model. The record is from RNAcentral.